AAAAAGCAAACCAGGACUCUUCUUCUUCUUCUUCUCUCUCUCUCUCUCUCUCUCGUGCUCUGUUUCGAGAAGCAGAGCAUGGAGCGUGGUUUCAUCUUCUGCUUUUUCUUACUUCUUUGCAUUUUCUGUAUUGCAGGUGAAAAUGCCUUUAAUUAAACCUUCUGGUUUUAUGUAGCGUUUUAUCUUUUAUGGUAUUUACUAGUAACCAGACGCUCCUUUUGUAUUUUUUUUACUAAAGAAUGUGCUCUACAUUUUGCAGAUGCGGGCUCAAUCGGAGUUAACUAUGGAAGAAUCGCCAACAACUUACCUUCUGCAGUGAAAGUGGUGCAGCUUCUCAAGUCUCAAGGUCUGCAGCGGGUAAAGGUUUUCGACGCUGAUCCGGCUGUACUCAAAGCUUUAUCUGGAUCCUCGAUUAAAGUAACCGUC
This 426-nucleotide long non-coding RNA is filed under the name Jatropha curcas. Its description in RNAcentral is "long non-coding RNA (JCUR_LNC002201)". Lineage: Eukaryota; Viridiplantae; Streptophyta; Magnoliopsida; Malpighiales; Euphorbiaceae. The record is from RNAcentral.